UGGUACAGAGACAUUACAUGAUAACAAGAGUUAUUAUGUAAGGUAUAUUAUUAUUAUUAUAUAUUAAUUAUUAUUAAUUAUUAUUAUUAAUAUUAUUAUUAAUAUUAUUAUUAUUAUUAUUAUUAUUAAAUUAUUUCAUUGAAUGGAAUUUUAUUUUUUUAAGAGCCUCUUUAAACCUGCAAUGUCUUUCUCUUUAUCGUAGCGUAACAAAUGAGUUUUAUUUGGAAUUAAAGGAACGCUACACUGACACAAGUCGUUUGUGGCAUUAACAAAAUAUGCUUAAUUUUAUUUUUUGCUUAAUUCAAAAGAAUUUACUGUUCACAAAUACAUGUUCCUUUCUACGUGAUACUAGAACAAAUACUUUACAGUUGCGAACAAUGCAAAGAUCUUAAAUAAUAUUCAAAGAUCGAAUACGCAGUUUGGUACAUACUAAAUACGCGAUGUUCGUAAGAUCAUCAAAAAAUGAAUUCGUCUUAUUUUCAAACUCUGUCAAAUGGCAAAGUGUAUAAGAUAUCGAUGAUAGAUCACUAAUACGUAAUGUUUAAUUUUAUUUAUUCUGAGUUUUUUUUUUUUUUUUUUUCAACAUGAUCUAUCAUUGUAUCGUAUAACUUUGUUUUCGACGAACCUCGUAGAGUUUGACGUUUUCGUUGAACGUCGCUUUAAAAAUCGAUCGUGUAAUUGCACAUUAUGUAAAUUUUGAAGAGAAAUUUCGCGAAAAAUGCGAUCGAUCGAAAACAAGAAAAAGGAAAAGAAGAAAUCUAUUUCCGAAUCUUCAAGAAUUCCGUCGAAAGUUUGGCUUGCGUUUAAAUUGCUGAAAUGCCCCCUCGCCUAAAGAUGACAUUACAGUGUAUACAAAUGAUUUAUUAUUACAGAGACGCUUAGACCUGAUUCCGUCGCAUUAAAUUUGUUUAAUAUAAUAGUCGUUCAAAUUUCUUGAGCGUUUCCUCCAAACGAGUGAAUGGAGUCGACGCUAAAGAAAAACGUGUCGAGAUAACGAACAGGAAAGCGUAGGAGGCGUGUAUCUAUGUCGAAGAUCACGAAAUAUCCACGUUUGUAGAGUAACGUUAAUUGUAUGUGUGCCUGGCUAUGAUUCGUUUAGAUACUUAUCAAUUACGAUACAGGCAAGAGAUAUAGAGAGAAAGAAACAGAGUGAAAGUGUUACAUAGUCAUCGAUAGAAGAGAUAUACUAAUUGAAAUACAUAUUCUCAUGUUUGACGUUUUCUCUUAUGUUGCGGAUCUAUUACAUUGGAUAAGAAAUAUUGUAUAUAAUAUUAAUACAGAUAAAACAAUGCAUAUUAUACGUUAUUAUAAUCUUUACAAAUAUGCUAAUUAUUCUAAGGUUUAAUUAUUAAUAACUAAUUGAAAGUAAAUUAA
Apis dorsata (giant honeybee) is the source of this 1374-nucleotide long non-coding RNA. RefSeq lists it as uncharacterized. Lineage: Eukaryota; Metazoa; Arthropoda; Insecta; Hymenoptera; Apidae. The transcript is spliced from 2 exons. The record is from RefSeq and is a predicted model, not a curated record.